UCUCUUCCUCGUCUCAAUCGCGUUUGAACUCGCCAAACCUCAGGCGAGUGAGCUCAAUUUCACCUCACACGCACCUUAUCUCACUCACCUCAGCAAGAUAACGGUUUCUGACAUUUUUUUCCCCUCUCAUGUGCUGAUUUCGUUUUGGAAUUUCUGAGAAUGAAUCCGAGAAAUGGGAGCCGUGGAUUGAUUGAAGGAUCGAUCCUCUCCUUCCAUCUGUCAGGGUUCAUUCUAGAAGAGAUUCAUUUUCCGGAUUUCUUGAAAAAAGGAGAAAAUUUUGUGAGAGAGGCUAUAUAUAUCGAGGUCUGAUUUCAGGUUGGGGGGCUGGAAAUUUCGGAGAGGUAAAAAGGGUUCUAGGGUUCUCUGCUUUCCUUAUUUUCGAUCUGGUACUGCAUUUUCAGAAAAAGAAAAAUACAAAAAAAAAAUAGUUUGGGUUUGAUUUUUGUUCGAGUUUCAUUUCAGAAGAAAUUAGAAAAUCCCCAAAAGAUUUCAAUAUUUGUUUUGAUUUUGGUUCUUAAAAUGGAGUUCGAUUGAAAGUUGCUGAGUUCGUCGCUGUCUAAACAUCUGAUUGCUGCUCGUCUUUGCUACUGGUUUGGCUGUGCUCCGAGCCUUGACCUGCUGUUAUUUUACUGCUGAAAGUUUGGAGUCGAAACUGUGUAAUCGCCUUCGAUUUUGUUAUCAAAAGAAGUUCGAAAUUUCAGGUUCAGUCUUCAUCUGUUGUGCUUGCAAUUCUGUUUCGUUUCAGUAUUUUUUUUUAGCUAUGAGAUUCAGUCCAGGGUGAUUUGUUUGUGUUAUGAUCGAUUUUUUUGUGGACUGAGUCUGUUCUCAGUAAUGGUAUGUGUUUGAGUAUCGAGAUGGUAUGGAUUCUUGAAG
Molecule: long non-coding RNA, 873 nt
Filed under: Nicotiana benthamiana
Lineage: Eukaryota; Viridiplantae; Streptophyta; Magnoliopsida; Solanales; Solanaceae
Description: long non-coding RNA (NBEN_LNC023770)
Source: RNAcentral